GACGAACGCUGGCGGCGUGCUUAACACAUGCAAGUCGGACGGAAAGGCCCUGCUUUUGUGGGGUGCUCGAGUGGCGAACGGGUGAGUAACACGUGAGUAACCUGCCCUUGACUUUGGGAUAACUUCAGGAAACUGGGGCUAAUACCGGAUAGGAGCUCCUGCUGCAUGGUGGGGGUUGGAAAGUUUCGGCGGUUGGGGAUGGACUCGCGGCUUAUCAGCUUGUUGGUGGGGUAGUGGCUUACCAAGGCUUUGACGGGUAGCCGGCCUGAGAGGGUGACCGGCCAUAUUGGGACUGAGAUACGGCCCAGACUCCUACGGGAGGCAGCAGUGGGGAAUAUUGCACAAUGGGCGGAAGCCUGAUGCAGCAACGCCGCGUGCGGGAUGACGGCCUUCGGGUUGUAAACCGCUUUCGCCUGUGACGAAGCGUGAGUGACGGUAAUGGGUAAAGAAGCACCGGCUAACUACGUG
RNAcentral lists this ribosomal RNA (468 nucleotides) under uncultured bacterium. RNAcentral's name for it is "partial 16S ribosomal RNA". It matches the Rfam family "Bacterial small subunit ribosomal RNA", at positions 28 to 507 of the family's 1533-position model. The record is from RNAcentral.